AAUCGAACCCGGAGAUAGCUGGUUCUCCCCGAAAUAGCUUUAGGGCUAGCGUCGCAGCGAGAGAGCCGUGAAGGUAGAGCACUGAAUAUGCGAUGGCCGCAUCCCGCGGUACUGAGCAUAAUCAAACUCCGAAUGUCACGGUGUCAUCUGCGGCAGUCAGACGGCGAGUGAUAAGGUCCGUCGUCAAGAGGGAAACAGCCCAGACCAUCAGCUAAGGUCCCAAAGUGCAUGCUAAGUGGAAAAGGAAGUGGAGACGUGCAGACAACUAGGAGGUUGGCUCAGAAGCAGCCAUCCUUCAAAGAGUGCGUAACAGCUCACUAGUCGAAUGACUCUGCGCCGAUAAUUUACCGGGGCUAAGCAUGACACCGAAGCUAUGGACAGGAAUGUGGUAGGGGAGCAUUGCAUGCAGCGGAGAAGCAUGACCGAGAGGGCAUGUGGAGCGCAUGGAAGAGAGAAUGCCGGCGUGAGUAGCGGCACGUGGGUGAGAAUCCCACGCACCGAUGGCCCAAGGUCUCCAGAGGAAGGCUCGUCCUCUCUGGGAUAGUCGGGACCUAAGGCGAGGCCGAAAGGCGUAGCCGAUGGACGACGGGUGGAUAUUCCCGUACCCGAUGUGUGGCGAUGGAGUGACGGAGAAGGCUCAGGCAACCAGCUGCUGGAAUAGCUGGGGCAAGCGAGAUACCUGCGCACCAGGGAAAUCCGGUGCGCAUAAGGGGAAGGCGCGAUGCAUACGGAAAGCUGCGGCAAGUACGGAAAAGCUGAGAGCAGGCUUCCAGGAAAAGCUUCUAGCACAACACACAUCGGCCCGUACCGAAAAUGGACACACAUGGGCAAGGAGAGAAUCCUGAGGUGAGCGAGAGAACUAUAGCUAAGGAACUCUGCAAAAUGACCCCGUAACUUAGGGAGAAGGGGUGCUCCAGAAAUGGAGCCGCAGUAAAACGGCCCAAGCGACUGUUUACCAAAAACACAGCUCUCUGCGAAGGCGCAAGCCGAAGUAUAGGGGGUGACGCCUGCCCGGUGCUGGAAGGUCAAGGGGAGCUGUCAGCGCAAGCGAAGCAGCGAGCCGAAGCCCCAGUAAACGGCGGCCGUAACUAUAACGGUCCUAAGGUAGCGAAAUUCCUUGUCGGGCAAGUUCCGACCCGCACGAAAGGCGUAACGAUUUGGGCGCUGUCUCAGCUGUAGACUCGGUGAAGUCUUAGUACCUGUGAAGAUGCAGGUUGCCCGCGACUAGACGGAAAGACCCCAUGGAGCUUCACUGCAGGUUGACAUUGGGCUUGGAUGCAUGAUGUACAGGAUAGGUGGGAGGCUGUGAGCCGUGCGCGCCAGCGUACGGGGAGCCGCUGUUGGGAUACCACCCUUCAUGCAUCUAGGUCCUAACCGGAGGCAACGGGCCACGGGACAGUGUCAGUCGGGCAGUUUGACUGGGGCGGUCGCCUCCCAAAGAGUAACGGAGGCGCCCAAAGAUACCCUCAGCAUGGAUGGAAACCAUGCAUAGAGUGCAAAGGCAUAAGGGUGUCUGACUGCGAGACAUACAGGUCGAGCAGGGACGAAAGUCGGGCUUAGUGAUCCGGCGGAUCCGAAUGGAAGGGCCGUCGCUCAACGGAUAAAAGCUACCCUGGGGAUAACAGGCUGAUCUCCCCCAAGAGUUCACAUCGACGGGGAGGUUUGGCACCUCGAUGUCGGCUCAUCGCAUCCUGGAGCUGAAGUCGGUUCCAAGGGUUGGGCUGUUCGCCCAUUAAAGCGGUACGCGAGCUGGGUUCAGAACGUCGUGAGACAGUUCGGUCCCUAUCUGUCGUGGGCGCAGGAGGUUUGAGGAGAGCUGCCCCUAGUACGAGAGGACCGGGGUGGACGGACCGAUGGUGCACCAGUUGUCACGCCAGUGGCACAGCUGGGCAGCCAAGUCCGGACGGGAUAAGCGCUGAAGGCAUCUAAGCGUGAAGCCCCCUCCAAGAUGAGACCUCCCAUUGG
Molecule: ribosomal RNA, 1965 nt
Filed under: human gut metagenome
Description: bacterial LSU rRNA
Rfam family: Bacterial large subunit ribosomal RNA
Source: RNAcentral